GAUGAACGCUGGCGGCGUGCCUAAUACAUGCAAGUCGAGCGAACAGACGAGGAGCUUGCUCCUCUGACGUUAGCGGCGGACGGGUGAGUAACACGUGGAUAACCUACCUAUAAGACUGGGAUAACUUCGGGAAACCGGAGCUAAUACCGGAUAAUAUAUUGAACCGCAUGGUUCAAUAGUGAAAGACGGUUUUGCUGUCACUUAUAGAUGGAUCCGCGCCGCAUUAGCUAGUUGGUAAGGUAACGGCUUACCAAGGCAACGAUGCGUAGCCGACCUGAGAGGGUGAUCGGCCACACUGGAACUGAGACACGGUCCAGACUCCUACGGGAGGCAGCAGUAGGGAAUCUGCCGCAAUGGGCGAAAGCAUGACGGAGCAACGCCGCGUGAGUGAUGAAGGUCUUCGGAUCGUAAAACUCUGUUAUUAGGGAAGAACAAAUGUGUAAGUAACUAUGCACGUCUUGACGGUACCUAAUCAGAAAGCCACGGCUAACUACGUG
RNAcentral lists this ribosomal RNA (497 nucleotides) under uncultured bacterium. RNAcentral describes it as "partial 16S ribosomal RNA". It matches the Rfam family "Bacterial small subunit ribosomal RNA", at positions 28 to 507 of the family's 1533-position model. The record is from RNAcentral.